Molecule: ribosomal RNA, 459 nt
Filed under: Staphylococcus cohnii
Lineage: Bacteria; Bacillati; Bacillota; Bacilli; Caryophanales; Staphylococcaceae
Description: bacterial SSU rRNA
Rfam family: Bacterial small subunit ribosomal RNA
Source: RNAcentral
CUUAAAUGAAUUGGGGGGGGGGCGCCCAAGCGGUGGAGCAUGUGGUUUAAUUCGAAGCAACGCGAAGAACCUUACCAAAUCUUGACAUCCUUUGACAACUCUAGAGAUAGAGCCUUCCCCUUCGGGGGACAAAGUGACAGGUGGUGCAUGGUUGUCGUCAGCUCGUGUCGUGAGAUGUUGGGUUAAGUCCCGCAACGAGCGCAACCCUUAAGCUUAGUUGCCAGCAUUAAGUUGGGCACUUUAAGUUGACUGCCGGUGACAAACCGGAGGAAGGUGGGGAUGACGUCAAAUCAUCAUGCCCCUUAUGAUUUGGGCUACACACGUGCUACAAUGGACAAUACAAAGGGCAGCUAAACCGCGAGGUCAUGCAAAUCCCAUAAAGUUGUUCUCAGUUCGGAUUGUAUGUCUGCAACUCGACUACAUGAAGCUGGAAUCGCUAGUAAUCGUAGAUCAGCAGCU